UACGAGGGGGGCAAGCGUUGUUCGGAGUUACUGGGCGUAAAGGGCGCGUAGGCGGCUUUUCAAGUCUGGUGUGAAAUCUCCCGGCUCAACUGGGAGGGUGCGCCGGAUACUGAGGGGCUAGAGUGUGGGAGAGGAAAGUGGAAUUCCUGGUGUAGCGGUGAAAUGCGUAGAUAUCAGGAGGAACACCGGUGGUGUAAACGGCUUUCUGGACCAUAACUGACGCUGAGGCACGAAAGCGUGGGUAGCAAACAGG
This 253-nucleotide ribosomal RNA is filed under the name uncultured bacterium. RNAcentral describes it as "partial 16S ribosomal RNA". It matches the Rfam family "Bacterial small subunit ribosomal RNA", at positions 524 to 776 of the family's 1533-position model. The record is from RNAcentral.